GACGAACGCUGGCGGCGUGCUUAACACAUGCCAGUCGUACGGUAAGGCCCUUUCGGGGGUACACGAGUGGCGAACGGGUGAGUAACACGUGAGUAACCUGCCCACAACUUUGGGAUAACGCUAGGAAACUGGUGCUAAUACUGGAUAUGUGCUCCUGCUGCAUGGUGGGGGUUGGAAAGCUCCGGCGGUUGUGGAUGGACUCGCGGCCUAUCAGCUUGUUGGUGGGGUAGUGGCCUACCAAGGCGGCGACGGGUAGCCGGCCUGAGAGGGUGACCGGCCACAUUGGGACUGAGAUACGGCCCAGACUCCUACGGGAGGCAGCAGUGGGGAAUAUUGCACAAUGGGCGCAAGCCUGAUGCAGCAACGCCGCGUGCGGGAUGACGGCCUUCGGGUUGUAAACCGCUUUCAGCAGGGACGAAGCUUUUUGUGACGGUACCUGCAGAAGAAGCACCGGCUAACUACG
Molecule: ribosomal RNA, 463 nt
Filed under: uncultured bacterium
Lineage: Bacteria
Description: partial 16S ribosomal RNA
Rfam family: Bacterial small subunit ribosomal RNA
Source: RNAcentral